This 253-nucleotide ribosomal RNA is filed under the name uncultured bacterium. Its description in RNAcentral is "partial 16S ribosomal RNA". It matches the Rfam family "Bacterial small subunit ribosomal RNA", at positions 524 to 776 of the family's 1533-position model. The record is from RNAcentral.
UACGGAGGGAGCUAGCGUUGUUCGGAAUUACUGGGCGUAAAGCGCGCGUAGGCGGCUUUGUAAGUUAGAGGUGAAAGCCCGGGGCUCAACCCCGGAACUGCCUUUAAGACUGCAUCGCUUGAAUCCAGGAGAGGUGAGUGGAAUUCCGAGUGUAGAGGUGAAAUUCGUAGAUAUUCGGAGGAACACCAGUGGCGAAGGCGGCUCACUGGUCCAUUACUGACGCUGAGGUGCGAAAGCGUGGGGAGCAAACAGG